Molecule: small nucleolar RNA, 131 nt
Organism: Jaculus jaculus (lesser Egyptian jerboa)
Lineage: Eukaryota; Metazoa; Chordata; Mammalia; Rodentia; Dipodidae
Product: small nucleolar RNA SNORA33
Exons: 1
Source: RefSeq, a predicted model, not a curated record
UAGCCAGCCAAUUAUUCUGCUUAUCUGAAUGUGCUUCUGCAGAAAUUUAUAAACAGUUGGCAAUAGUGAUACCAUUUUAUGAGCCUUAAGAACAACUGAGGUCAUUAUUGUUCUUCCAAAUGCCUACAAUA